GAUGAAGAACGUAGUGAAAUGCGAUAAGUAAUGUGAAUUGCAGAAUUCAGUGAAUCAUCGAAUCUUUGAACGCACAUUGCGCCCCUUGGUAUUCCGAGGGGCAUGCCUAUUCGAGCGUCAUUAUCACCCCUCAAGCCUAGCUUGGUGUUGAGGCCUGCUGUCAAGGCAGCCUCUAAAAUCAGUGGCAGUGCUGUCAGGCUCUAAGCGUAGUAAAUCUAAUCGCUAUAGACACCUGGUGGACACUCGCCAGAACCCCCCCCAUUUUUUAAUGAUUGACCUCGGAUUAGGUAGGGAUACCCGCUGAACUUAAGCAUAUCAAUAAGCGGAGGA
This 330-nucleotide unclassified non-coding RNA is filed under the name soil metagenome. RNAcentral describes it as "partial contains 5.8S ribosomal RNA, internal transcribed spacer 2, and large subunit ribosomal RNA". The stretch from base 1 to 120 matches the Rfam family "5.8S ribosomal RNA", at positions 35 to 154 of the family's 154-position model. The record is from RNAcentral.